Long non-coding RNA from Cynoglossus semilaevis (tongue sole), 239 nucleotides. RefSeq lists it as uncharacterized. The record is from RefSeq and is a predicted model, not a curated record. Lineage: Eukaryota; Metazoa; Chordata; Actinopteri; Pleuronectiformes; Cynoglossidae. The transcript has 3 exons.
AGGUUAUUUCUGCAAUGACUCCUAAUGAUGACUUCGCAGGCUUUGAACCAACAAGACCACAGAAACCUGGUUUCUAUGAACCAAAUGUGGAAGAAGCCCAGAAUUCUCAUUACAAGCGCCUGACUGUGCCGUACAUGUCUCAAGGACAAGGUCAGCUGAGUGCCCCAAGAGGCGCUGUAGUAUUUGUAUUUGGUGAAGAGGACAAGGAUGGGAUGGUGACCGUCAUAUACGACGGACAG